This 1137-nucleotide long non-coding RNA is filed under the name Oryctolagus cuniculus (rabbit). Its description in RNAcentral is "lncRNA (ENSOCUG00000029953.1)". Lineage: Eukaryota; Metazoa; Chordata; Mammalia; Lagomorpha; Leporidae. The record is from RNAcentral.
AAAAUAGAACUAACCGCGUUUUGCCGAAGGAACUCUUCAAUUUAUUUAUUUUAUUUGAAAGUCACAGAGACCAAGACCGCUCCCGUCUGCUGGAUCUCGCCCCAAAUGCCCACAAACAGCCAGGGUUGAAAGCCAGGAGCCGAAAGCCAGGGGGCGCCAUCUGGGUCUGGCACGUGGGCGGCAGGGCUCCAGGUGCCUGGGCGAGCCCUGCUGCCUGCCUCCCGGAGUGUGCACCUGCAGGGAGCUGGAGCCCGGGGCCGAGCCGGGACCUGAAUGCCCGCCCUACCCUGCAGGACGGGAUGUGGGGGUCCCAGCCACGCCAGAGUUGUGUUUAAAUGUUCCUGACCGUGGAAGCCGGGGAGGGGGCAGGGCCCUGCGGCCAGAGAAGACCCCGGAGCAGGAUACCCAGAGCCGGGGCGCCCCGAGGCUGGGCACAGGACCCCCACCCCGGCUCUGCCUUAGAGAGGCCCCUACGUGCUGAGAGGGAGCCCAGACUCACUGGGGUGCCCCUAGGGACCUCAAGGGCCAUGGGUAGGGCCCGUCCUGUAGGGUGGGGUCGGCGUCGGGCACAGGAAGACGCCAUGGUGAGUGCUGAGGCUAAGAGGGGCCGACUGCAGGUGCAGGUUGAACUGUGGGACAGCGUGUGUGGGCCACGCCCUGCCCGUCACCGCGUCUCCCCCGCCUCCCCGGCUCAGUGCCUCCUGCCCAGCUCCGCAGCCGGCAGGGCUCCGGCCACCCUGGGACCCCAGCCCGCGGUCGCCAGGGUACCUGCUCCCACAGGUUGCUCAUCUCUACGGUGUUAAACAUCACAGGAGCCCGUGCUGUGGUGUAGCGAGUAAAACCGCCGCCUGCCACACCGGCAUCCCAAGUGGACACGGGUUCAAGUCCCGGCUGCUCCACUUCUGAUCCAGAUCUCUGCUACGGCCUGGGGGAGCAGUAGAAGAUGGCCCACGUGCUUGGGCCCUGCACCCACAUGGGAGACCCGGAUGGAUUCCUGGUCCCUGGCUUUGGCCGUGUCCAGCCCUGGCUGUUGUGGCCAUUUGGGGAGUGAACCAGAGGAUGAAAGACAUCUCUGUCCCAGCCCUGUAACUCUGCCUUCCAAAUAAAUCUUUUUAUUUUUAUUUUUUAAAAGAUUUA